GAUCAUGGCUACAGGACGAACGCUGGCGGCAUGCCUAACACAUGCAAGUCGAACGGGGGUAGCAAUACCCUAGUGGCGAACGGGUGAGUAACACAUAAGCAAUCUGCCCUUCACAGGGGGAUAACAGCGGGAAACUGCUGCUAAUACCGCAUAAGACCACGGUACCGCAUGGUACAGGGGUAAAAACGAAUCAGUGGUGAAGGAUGAGCUUAUGUCCCAUUAGCUAGUUGGUGAGAUAACAGCCCACCAAGGCGACGAUGGGUAGCCGACCUGAGAGGGUGAUCGGCCACACUGGAACUGAGACACGGUCCAGACUCCUACGGGAGGCAGCAGUGGGGAAUAUUGGGCAAUGGAGGAAAAACCUCUUACCCAGCAAUGCCGCGUGAGUGAAGAAGGUCUUCGGAUUGUAAAGCUCUUUGAUUGGGGACGAAGAAAGUGACGGUACCCAAAGAACAAGCCCCGGCUAACUACGUGCCAGCCGCUGC
RNAcentral lists this ribosomal RNA (485 nucleotides) under uncultured bacterium. RNAcentral describes it as "bacterial SSU rRNA". It matches the Rfam family "Bacterial small subunit ribosomal RNA", at positions 15 to 518 of the family's 1533-position model. The record is from RNAcentral.